UACGGAGGGUGCGAGCGUUGUCCGGAAUCACUGGGCGUAAAGGGCGCGUAGGUGGCGCAGGAAGUCAACGGUGAAAGUUCGGGGCUCAACCCUGAAUCGGCCGUCGAUACUCCUGGGCUCGAGCACUGUAGAGGCAGAUGGAAUUCCGGGUGUAGCGGUGGAAUGCGUAGAGAUCCGGAAGAACACCGGUGGCGAAGGCG
This 200-nucleotide ribosomal RNA is filed under the name uncultured bacterium. RNAcentral's name for it is "partial 16S ribosomal RNA". It matches the Rfam family "Bacterial small subunit ribosomal RNA", at positions 524 to 723 of the family's 1533-position model. The record is from RNAcentral.